This 759-nucleotide ribosomal RNA is filed under the name Bacillus pumilus. RNAcentral describes it as "bacterial SSU rRNA". It matches the Rfam family "Bacterial small subunit ribosomal RNA", at positions 56 to 796 of the family's 1533-position model. Lineage: Bacteria; Bacillati; Bacillota; Bacilli; Caryophanales; Bacillaceae. The record is from RNAcentral.
UGCAAGUCGAGCGGACAGAAGGGAGCUUGCUCCCGGAUGUUAGCGGCGGACGGGUGAGUAACACGUGGGUAACCUGCCUGUAAGACUGGGAUAACUCCGGGAAACCGGAGCUAAUACCGGAUAGUUCCUUGAACCGCAUGGUUCAAGGAUGAAAGACGGUUUCGGCUGUCACUUACAGAUGGACCCGCGGCGCAUUAGCUAGUUGGUGGGGUAAUGGCUCACCAAGGCGACGAUGCGUAGCCGACCUGAGAGGGUGAUCGGCCACACUGGGACUGAGACACGGCCCAGACUCCUACGGGAGGCAGCAGUAGGGAAUCUUCCGCAAUGGACGAAAGUCUGACGGAGCAACGCCGCGUGAGUGAUGAAGGUUUUCGGAUCGUAAAGCUCUGUUGUUAGGGAAGAACAAGUGCGAGAGUAACUGCUCGCACCUUGACGGUACCUAACCAGAAAGCCACGGCUAACUACGUGCCAGCAGCCGCGGUAAUACGUAGGUGGCAAGCGUUGUCCGGAAUUAUUGGGCGUAAAGGGCUCGCAGGCGGUUUCUUAAGUCUGAUGUGAAAGCCCCCGGCUCAACCGGGGAGGGUCAUUGGAAACUGGGAAACUUGAGUGCAGAAGAGGAGAGUGGAAUUCCACGUGUAGCGGUGAAAUGCGUAGAGAUGUGGAGGAACACCAGUGGCGAAGGCGACUCUCUGGUCUGUAACUGACGCUGAGGAGCGAAAGCGUGGGGGAGCGAACAGGAUUAGAUACCCUGUGUAGUCC